RNAcentral lists this transfer RNA (765 nucleotides) under Kluyveromyces marxianus. Its description in RNAcentral is "tRNA-Cys". The record is from RNAcentral. Lineage: Eukaryota; Fungi; Ascomycota; Saccharomycetes; Saccharomycetales; Saccharomycetaceae.
UUAAACAAGGAAGAGAUCUUCGAUAACCCGGUUUUCAUUUUGAUAGCGUUUCUUAAACACUUUACCAGAUUGGGUUGGAAGCUUGGUUGACUUUAGUCUAACCAAGCUUUUUGGUGAUUUUGUUUUUGUAUCUUGAGAGAGUUUUGAGUUGAAUUUUGAAUUGAACCUUUGGUUGGGUAACAGAGUUGGUGACGCAACCCUCUUCUUUUUGGUUCUAGUCUUAGGGAAUAGACACAAAUCCUUUGCGCUAUAUGAACUUACAGCACUCCCUACUCCCAUUGACAGACUUAUUGCCAGUCUGGAAAAUAUAUGGGAAUUUUCUAUAGGUUCCAUACUAAGCGUCUGAGAUGACUGUUUGUCCCAUGAACAAUAAUGUUUGUUUUUAUGCCAGUUCUCUUCUAAAGUUGCUAAUAGCAGAAAAUAAACUUUGAGUUCAGAGGGGGACUCGUUCCAAAGUUCCGAAGUUAUUUUAGAAGUAACUGAAAACAUGUUUUUCUGAAUCUUUGUUUGGUUAAAAUGUUCUAAGAUGUGUGUAGUCACACAUCUAUUAAAGAGUGUACGCAUAAGCACAAAUUGAUUUCUUGGUCUAGUAAACUUCUUUGAAGUUUUUUCAUUGGAUGAGCAAGUAAAAGCCUUACCAUUUCUCUUCAAAUUAGGAAAUUCAAUAGAGUUGUUAUUACUUUGCACUGCUUUAUUACUGGAGCAUGCUUCUUCUUUCGUAGAAAGCUUGAAAAAAGUUGUUCUUCUUAGCGUAGAGUUCGACAU